GUAGGUGGCAAGCGUUGUCCGGAAUUAUUGGGCGUAAAGCGCGCGCAGGCGGUUCUUUAAGUCUGAUGUGAAAGCCCACGGCUCAACCGUGGUGGGUCAUUGGAAACUGGAGAACUUGAGUACAGAAGAGGAAAGCGGAAUUCCACGUGUAGCGGUGAAAUGCGUAGAGAUGUGGAGGAACACCAGUGGCGAAGGCGGCUUUCUGGUCUGUAACUGACGCUGAGGCGCGAAAGCGUGGGGAGCAAACAGGAUUAGAUACCCUGGUAGUCCACGCCGUAAACGAUGAGUGCUAAGUGUUAGGGGGGUUUUCCGCCCCCCUUAGUGCUGCAGCUAACGCAUUAAGCACUCCGCCUGGGAGUACGGCCGCAAGGCUG
This 374-nucleotide ribosomal RNA is filed under the name uncultured organism. Its description in RNAcentral is "partial 16S ribosomal RNA". It matches the Rfam family "Bacterial small subunit ribosomal RNA", at positions 527 to 896 of the family's 1533-position model. The record is from RNAcentral.